Molecule: long non-coding RNA, 2502 nt
Filed under: Citrus x clementina
Lineage: Eukaryota; Viridiplantae; Streptophyta; Magnoliopsida; Sapindales; Rutaceae
Description: Citrus clementina (C. clementina) long non-coding RNA (CCLE_LNC006395)
Source: RNAcentral
UUUUGGCACCACGACCUUCGGGCGCUUAUUUUUGGGCACGGCUUUGCCCGCGGCUUAUUUUUGGUGCCCCGAGGCCCCUCGCAAAGUCUCGCCCCAUUCCGAGUCCGGCGGACGAACUUCGCCCGCGCCCCCCACCAAGGCUAUAGCCCACCCGUUUUUUGGCCAUUUUUCCGCUGGGGGGUUUUGGCACCAAGACCUUCGGGCGCUUAUUUUUGGGCGCGGCUUUGACCUGCGGCUUAUUUUUGGCACCCCGAGGCCCCUCGCAAAGUCUCGCCCCAUUCCGAGUCCGGAGGACGAACUUCGCCCGCGCCCCCCACCAAGGCUAUAGCCCACCCGUUUUUUGGCUAUUUUUCCGCUGGGGGGUUUUGGCACCACGACCUUCGGGUGCUUAUUUUUGGACGCGGCUGUGCCCGCGACUUCCCGCGGGCACCUCGAGGCCCCUCGUAAAGUCUCGCCCCAUUCCGAGUCCGGCGGACGAACUUCGCCCGCGCCCCCCACCAAGGCUAUAGCCCACCCGUUUUUUGGCCAUUUUUCCGCUGGGGGGUUUUGGCACCACGAACUUCGGGCGCUUAUUUUUGGACGCGGCUGUGCCCGCGACUUCCCGCGGGCACCCCGAGGCCCCUCGCAAAGUCUCGCCCCAUUCCGAGUCCGGCGGACGAACUUCGCCCGCGCCCCCCACCAAGGCUAUAGCCCACCCGUUUUUUGGCCAUUUUUCCGCUGGGGGGUUUUGGCACCACGACCUUCGGGCGCUUAUUUUUGGACGCGGCUGUGCCCGCGACUUCCCGCGGGCACCCCGAGGCCCCUCGCAAAGUCUCGCCCCAUUCCGAGUCCGGCGGACGAACUUCGACCGCGCCCCCCACCAAGGCUAUAGCCCACCCGUUUUUUGGCCAUUUUUCCGCUGGGGGGUUUUGGCACCACGACCUUCGGGCGCUUAUUUUUGGACGCGGCUGUGCCCGCGACUUCCCGCGCGCACCUCGAGGCCCCUCGCAAAGUCUCACCCCAUUCCAAGUCCGGCGGACGAACUUCGCCCGCGCCCCCCACCAAGGCUAUAGCCCACCCGUUUUUUGGCCAUUUUUCCGCUGGGGGGUUUUGGCACCACGACCUUUGGGCACAUAUUUUUGGGCGCGGCUUUGUCCGCGGCUUAUUUUUGGUACCCCGAGGCCCCUCGCAAAGUCUCGCCCUAUUCCGAGUCCGGCGGACGAACUUCGCCCGCGCCCCCCACCAAGGCUAUAGCCCACCCGUUUUUUGGCCAUUUUUCCGCUGGGGGGUUUUGGCACCACGACCUUCGGGUGCUUAUUUUUGGGCGCGGCUUUGGCCGCGGCUUAUUUUUGGUACCCCGAGGCCCCUCGCAAAGUGUCGCCCUAUUCCGAGUCCGGCGGACGAACUUCGCCCGCGCCCCCCACCAAGGCUAUAACCCACCCGUUUUUUGGCCAUUUUUCCGCUUGGGGGUUUUGGCACCACGACCUUCGGGCGCUUAUUUUUGGACGCGAUUGUGCCCGCGACUUCCCGCGGGCACCUCGAGGCCCCUCGCAAAGUCUCGCCCCAUUCCAAGUCCGGCGGACGAACUUCGCCCGCGCCCCCCACCAAGGCUAUAGCCCACCCGUUUUUUGGCCAUUUUUCCGCUGGGGGGUUUUGGCACCACGACCUUUGGGCACAUAUUUUUGGGCGCGGCUUUGUCCGCGGCUUAUUUUUGGUACCCCGAGGCCCCUCGCAAAGUCUCGCCCUAUUCCGAAUCCGGCGGACGAACUUCGCCCGCGCCCCCCACCAAGGCUAUAGCCCACCCGUUUUUUGGCCAUUUUUCCGCUAUGGGGUUUUGGCACCACGACCUUCGGGCACUUAUUUUUGGACGCGGCUGUGCCCGCGACUUCCCGCGGGCACCCCGAGGCCCCUCGCACAGUCUCGCCCCAUUCCGAGUCCGGCGGACGAACUUCGCCCGCGCCCCCCACCAAGGCUAUAGCCCACCCGUUUUUUGGCCAUUUUUCCGCUGGGGGGUUUUGGCACCACGACCUUCGGGUGCUUAUUUUUGGACGCGGCUGUGCCCGCGACUUCCCGCGGGCACCUCGAGGGCCCCUCGUAAAGUCUCGCCCCCAUUCCGAGUCCGGGCGGACGAAUUUCGCCCGCGCCCCCCACCAGGGCUAUAGCCCACCCGUUUUUUGGCCAUUUUUCCGCUGGGGGGUUUUGGCACCACGAACUUCGGGCGCUUAUUUUUGAACGCGGCUGUGCCCGCGACUUCCCGCGUGCACCCCGAGGCCCCUCGCAAAGUCUCGCCCCAUUCCGAGUCCGGCGGACGAACUUCGCCCGCGCCCCCCACCAAGGCUAUAGCCCACCCGUUUUUUGGCCAUUUUUCCGCUGGGGGGUUUUGGCACCAAGACCUUCGGGCGCUUAUUUUUGGGCGCGGCUUUGCCCGCGGCUUAUUUUUGGCACCCCGAGGCCCCUCGCAAAGUCUCGCCCCAUUCCGAGUCCGGCGGACGAACUUCGCCCGCGCCCCCCACCAAGGCUAUA